GGACGAACGCUGGCGGCGUGCCUAACACAUGCAAGUCGAACGGGGUGAUUUCUUCGGAGAUCACUUAGUGGCGAACGGGUGAGUAACGCGUGAGAAACCUGCCUUUCAGUGGGGGACAACAGUUGGAAACGACUGCUAAUACCGCAUAAUGUUAUUUGGGGGCAUCCCUGAAUAACCAAAGAUUUAUUGCUGAAAGAUGGUCUCGCGUCUGAUUAGCUAGUUGGUGAGGUAACGGCUCACCAAGGCGACGAUCAGUAGCCGGUCUGAGAGGAUGAACGGCCACAUUGGGACUGAGAUACGGCCCAGACUCCUACGGGAGGCAGCAGUGGGGAAUAUUGGGCAAUGGGGGAAACCCUGACCCAGCAACGCCGCGUGAAGGAAGAAGGCCUUCGGGUUGUAAACUUCUUUUACCAGGGACGAAGAACGUGACGGUACCUGGAGAAAAAGCAACGGCUAACUACGUG
RNAcentral lists this ribosomal RNA (464 nucleotides) under uncultured bacterium. RNAcentral describes it as "bacterial SSU rRNA". It matches the Rfam family "Bacterial small subunit ribosomal RNA", at positions 27 to 507 of the family's 1533-position model. The record is from RNAcentral.